AUGACUUGAACUUAUGAGUAGUAAAAUAACGAUCCAGGGUGAUGCAGUACUCCUCACUGGCAAUGUAAGACGAAUUUUUGAACAGGUAAAGGUUGCUCUGAAGGUAACCCGCCUACUUUGUGGGAUGCCUGGGAGUCGUGAUCUGCCCG
RNAcentral lists this small nuclear RNA (149 nucleotides) under Carlito syrichta (Philippine tarsier). RNAcentral describes it as "U12 minor spliceosomal RNA (ENSTSYG00000031227.1)". It matches the Rfam family "U12 minor spliceosomal RNA". Rfam says of the family: Although the U12 sequence is very divergent from that of U2, the two are functionally analogous. Lineage: Eukaryota; Metazoa; Chordata; Mammalia; Primates; Tarsiidae. The record is from Rfam by way of RNAcentral.